RNAcentral lists this transfer RNA (78 nucleotides) under Enterobacter hormaechei. RNAcentral's name for it is "tRNA-Asn". It matches the Rfam family "tRNA". From Rfam's summary of the family: Transfer RNA (tRNA) molecules are approximately 80 nucleotides in length. Their secondary structure includes four short double-helical elements and three loops (D, anti-codon, and T loops). The record is from RNAcentral. Lineage: Bacteria; Pseudomonadati; Pseudomonadota; Gammaproteobacteria; Enterobacterales; Enterobacteriaceae.
ACGAUUCCUCUGUAGUUCAGUCGGUAGAACGGCGGACUGUUAAUCCGUAUGUCACUGGUUCGAGUCCAGUCAGUUGUG